AAGUCGUAACAAGGUUUUCGUAGGUGAACCUGCGGCAGGAGCUUUGCCAAAAGGUCCCCAUGCCCCCUAAUAACCCCACAGUUUUAUGUGAAGCUCAAUGUAAUACAUUGGGUAAAAAAACCGAACAACUGUUAACAAUGGAUAUCUUGGUUCUC
RNAcentral lists this unclassified non-coding RNA (155 nucleotides) under fungal sp. Its description in RNAcentral is "partial internal transcribed spacer region". The record is from RNAcentral. Lineage: Eukaryota; Fungi.